Long non-coding RNA from Cervus elaphus (red deer), 256 nucleotides. RefSeq lists it as uncharacterized. Lineage: Eukaryota; Metazoa; Chordata; Mammalia; Artiodactyla; Cervidae. The record is from RefSeq and is a predicted model, not a curated record. The transcript has 3 exons.
UGAAAGGCGGGCUGAGCAUCCGCCACCUCGUCCCACUCCCUGCAUCCGGGCUGGGAAUCCAGCGGCAGCAGCAGCCGCCCGCCUGCAGGGGCCCGGCGCCUGGGCGGGGCAUCCUGAGGUUGGGCACCGUGGAGCGCCAUAUUGAAUGGAAGAAAGAUGGAAUGCCCUUGCAUCCAAAGAUGCCUGGUUCCAGUUCUUGAACAUCUGUGUUCAGGAGUGUGCACUCAGGAGCUGGAUAGUCUGGGUUGGAAUUCAC